This 638-nucleotide ribosomal RNA is filed under the name Shewanella hafniensis. RNAcentral's name for it is "bacterial SSU rRNA". It matches the Rfam family "Bacterial small subunit ribosomal RNA", at positions 49 to 679 of the family's 1533-position model. Lineage: Bacteria; Pseudomonadati; Pseudomonadota; Gammaproteobacteria; Alteromonadales; Shewanellaceae. The record is from RNAcentral.
CUACCAUGCAGUCGAGCGGCAGCACAGGGAGUUUACUCCUGAGGUGGCGAGCGGCGGACGGGUGAGUAAUGCCUAGGGAUCUGCCCAGUCGAGGGGGAUAACAGUUGGAAACGACUGCUAAUACCGCAUACGCCCUACGGGGGAAAGGAGGGGACCUUCGGGCCUUCCGCGAUUGGAUGAACCUAGGUGGGAUUAGCUAGUUGGUGAGGUAAUGGCUCACCAAGGCGACGAUCCCUAGCUGUUCUGAGAGGAUGAUCAGCCACACUGGGACUGAGACACGGCCCAGACUCCUACGGGAGGCAGCAGUGGGGAAUAUUGCACAAUGGGGGAAACCCUGAUGCAGCCAUGCCGCGUGUGUGAAGAAGGCCUUCGGGUUGUAAAGCACUUUCAGUAGGGAGGAAAGGGUGUAGUUUAAUACGCUAUAUCUGUGACGUUACCUACAGAAGAAGGACCGGCUAACUCCGUGCCAGCAGCCGCGGUAAUACGGAGGGUCCGAGCGUUAAUCGGAAUUACUGGGCGUAAAGCGUGCGCAGGCGGUUUGUUAAGCGAGAUGUGAAAGCCCCGGGCUCAACCUGGGAAUUGCAUUUCGAACUGGCGAACUAGAGUCUUGUAGAGGGGGGUAGAAUUCCAGGUGUAGC